RNAcentral lists this transfer RNA (77 nucleotides) under Acidobacteriota bacterium. RNAcentral's name for it is "Acidobacteria bacterium tRNA-Lys". It matches the Rfam family "tRNA". Rfam says of the family: Transfer RNA (tRNA) molecules are approximately 80 nucleotides in length. Lineage: Bacteria; Pseudomonadati; Acidobacteriota. The record is from RNAcentral.
GGACGCGUAGUUCAGUUGGUCAGAACACCGGACUUUUAAUCCGGGUGUCGCGGGUUCAAAUCCCGCCGCGUCCUCCA